RNAcentral lists this ribosomal RNA (616 nucleotides) under uncultured bacterium. RNAcentral describes it as "bacterial SSU rRNA". The stretch from base 1 to 536 matches the Rfam family "Bacterial small subunit ribosomal RNA", at positions 338 to 873 of the family's 1533-position model. The record is from RNAcentral.
CCUACGGGAGGCAGCGGUGGGGAAUAUUGCGCAAUGGCCGAAAGGCUGACACAGCGACGCCGCGUGGGGGAUGAAGCAUUUCGGUGUGUAAACCCCUGUUGCUCGGGACGAACAACUGGAUUUGUCCAGUCUGACGGUACCGGGUGAGGAAGCACCGGCUAACUCCGUGCCAGCAGCCGCGGUAAUACGGAGGGUGCGAGCGUUGUCCGGAAUCACUGGGCGUAAAGGGCGCGUAGGCGGUCUGCUAAGCGUGUGGUGAAAGCUCGGGGCUCAACCCCGAGUCUGCCAUGCGAACUGGUGGACUAGAGCACUGUAGAGGCAGGUGGAAUUCCGGGUGUAGCGGUGGAAUGCGUAGAGAUCCGGAAGAACACCGGUGGCGAAGGCGGCCUGCUGGGCAGUAGCUGACGCUGAGGCGCGACAGCGUGGGGAGCAAACAGGAUUAGAUACCCUGGUAGUCCACGCCGUAAACGAUGGGGACUAGGUGCUUGGGGGAGCGACCCCUCGAGUGCCGGCGCUAACGCAUUAAGUCCCCCGCCUGGGGAGGUACGGCCGCGAGCGNGAACGUAAAGAAGUAGACGGCGUGAGACGUCGCCGACGGACGACGACGAGGGAGAGG